RNAcentral lists this non-coding RNA (74 nucleotides) under Humibacillus sp. DSM 29435. RNAcentral's name for it is "Fluoride riboswitch aptamer (crcB RNA motif)". It matches the Rfam family "Fluoride riboswitch aptamer (crcB RNA motif)". RNAcentral also lists the same sequence under 1 other name. The record is from Rfam by way of RNAcentral. Lineage: Bacteria; Bacillati; Actinomycetota; Actinomycetes; Micrococcales; Intrasporangiaceae.
CUGAGAGAAGGUGAUGGACCCCGCCUGGGUGGUGACAGCCCUAACUGCAUUUUGCUGAUGGUUCCUACGACGUU